GAAGCCGGUAGUCUAACCGACAAGGGGGACGCCGUCCACGGUGUGUCAAUGACUGGGGUG
Molecule: ribosomal RNA, 60 nt
Filed under: uncultured bacterium
Lineage: Bacteria
Description: partial 16S ribosomal RNA
Source: RNAcentral